CUCUCUCUCCCUCCGUGAGCCUCCCAUAGCAGUAGAACGACUGGAGGAGGUCGUCUUCCCCAACUCCGACAACCACGGCCACCGCAUCUGUCUCGUUCAUUCCGACGACACCAGGGCCUCCCCCUCUCCACUCUCUUCACCACUAGCCUCCUGGACCUCCCUCUGAUCCACUUCCCCUUCCAAUUUGGCCUGGGAGCCGCCGGAGGAAAGAGCCCCACCCUGCCCGACAGCCACCGUCCGUUGUGGAGCUCGCCGGCGGCGACUCCGUACACCCCAGGGACGAUGGCAACCACCGGAGGGACCGCCUCGACCCCCUGAGCCCGCGGACGGCCUUGGUUUCUCGAACGGUGCCGCUGUUUGCCGGCGAGCCUCAUCGGAGCCCCGCCUCUGUUCUGCCGAAGAGGGAAGCGCGUGCGGCGACUGGUCAAAAUCGACCAGUGGGCCAGGCGGGCCCACUGUCAGUGUCCCAGCGCCGCUGACCCGCCCGUAAGAGGAGGCGAACUCCGUUUAGCCGCCUUCGCGCGUGUAAGACGUACCAGGCGAUUACGCCUUCAACGUCAUCAACUCUUCCUCGCGGCUGAGCAGCUGGGCUCGGCCCAGUAACGCCAGACAGCUAAACGUUGCCCAGGGUACAUCUUUGCACUUUCAUAUUUUCUUUUCCAGCGGAUUUCAAAUAAAUCCACAGCAGCCAUUUCGCAUUCAAAUUCGAUGAUUCAAAUUUCUACCUACUCCUAAAAUCAUGCUCUAUUGAUCCAGAUAGGGUGAACAUUUUUCCUAGGUCUUUUUUUUGUGGGAUCUACUGAAUAGUCCUUUUCCUUUAAUAUUCCAGCUUAGUAAAUCCAUAGAAAAAUCAUAUAAACUCCAAAUGACUUUAUUCUUUUUCUUUUAUUUCUCAAAUUCCAUCUAGUUUAUUUUAGUAUUUAUUUCACAAAUUUCCAAACAACGUUUAUGUACUGUUUUGGAAUUGUGUGGUAAUUAAAAUAUUUUGAAAAUAGGAAAUGGAGGGGAGAUAUAAUUUUCAAAGUUUUGGAGUGCACCCAAUCUUUCUGCAUGCUCAAGGCAAGCAUCUUGAACACGUGAUAUGGUGAAUGCAUAUUUGUUUGCUUGCAUGUAGAAUUGAAUUAUGAAUAUGUUGGAUUCAUGUAGAAUUUGCAAAGCACUAGUCAUACAUGCAUGAUCACUUUGAUGGUGUUUUAUCUUCAGUUAAACAUGAAGCAUAAGUGAGUAUGGUUAUUUUCAUGUGCAAUAUGUGCCUGUGUUGGUCCAGGCUAAUUUGCAGGAAGAAUCAGUCACGAGAAAAGUGACCGUGAUACUGAAAUCUCGUUGUGACGAGAAUGAUCAGUGGGGGUAUGAUGAUGUUGGGCAACGUAGUAAUUUCAAAAAAUUUCCUACGCACACGCAAGAUCAUGGUGAUGCAUAGCAACGAGAGGGGAGAGUGUUGUCCACGUACCCUCGUAGACCGACAGUGGAAGCGUUAUCACAACGCGGUUGAUGUAGUCGUACGUCUUCACGAUCCGACCGAUCAAGUACCGAACGCACGGCAACUCCGAGUUCUGCACACGUUCAGCUCGAUGACGUCCCUCGAACUCCGAUCCAGCCGAGUGUUGAGGGAGAGUUUCGUCAGCACGACGGCGUGGUGACGAUGAUGAUGUUCCACCGAUGCAGGGCUUCGCCUAAGCUCCGCAACGGUAUUAUCGAGGUGUAAUAUGGUGGAGGGGGGCACCGCACACGGCUAAAAUAUCGUAUAUCAAGUGUGUAUAAAGGUGCCCCCCUGCCCCCGUAUAUAAAGGAGCAAGGGGGAGGCCGGCUGCCCUAGGCGCGCCAAGGAGAGGGGGGGGAGUCCUCCUCCUAGUAGGAGCAGGACUCCCCUUUCCUAGUCCAACUAGGAAAAGAAGGGGGAAGGAAAGAGAGGGAGAGGGAGAGGGAAAGGGGGCUGUGCCCCCCUCUCCUAGUCCAACUAGGAUUCCUCCUAGGAGGGGGCGCACCACCUCCUGGCUGCUGCCCUCUCUCUCCCCUCAAGGCCCACUAAGGCCCAAUACUUCCCCGGGGGGUUCCGGUAACCCUCCGGCACUCCGGUUUAAUCCGAAACUUCUCCGAAACACUUCCGGUGUCCGAAUAUAGUCGUCCAAUAUAACAAUCUUUAUGUCUCGACCAUUUCGAGACUCCUCGUCAUGUCCGUGAUCACAUCUGGGACUCCGAACAACCUUCGGUACAUCAAAACAUAUAAACUCAUAAUAUAACUGUCAUCGUAACGUUAAGCGUGCGGACCCAUCGGGUUCGAGAACUAUGUAGACAUGACCGAGACACCUCUCCGGUCAAUAACCAAUAGCGGAACCUGGAUGCUCAUAUUGGUUCCCACAUAUUCUAUGAAGAUCUUUAUCGGUCAAACCGCAUAACAACAUACGUUGUUCCCUUUGUCAUCGGUGUGUUACUUGCCCGAGAUUCGAUCGUCGGUAUCUCGAUACCUAGUUCAAUCUCGUUACCGGCAAGUCUCUUUACUCGUUCCAUAAUACAUCAUCCCGCAACUAUAUCAUUAGUCACAAUGCUUGCAAGGCUUAUAGUGAUGUGCAUCACCGAGUGGGCCCAGAGAUACCUCUCCGACAAUCGGAGUGACAAAUCCUAAUCUCGAAAUACGCCAACCCAACAAGUACCUUUGGAGACACCUGUAGAGCACCUUUAUAAUCACCCAUUUACGUUGUGACGUUUGGUAGCACACAAAGUGUUCCUCCGGUAAACGGGAGUUGCAUAAUCUCAUAGUCAUAGGAACAUGUAUAAGUUAUGAAGAAAGCAAUAGCAACAUACUAAACGAUCGGGUGCUAAGCUAACGGAAUGGGUCAUGUCAAUCACGUCAUUGUCCUAAUGAGGUGAUCCCGUUAAUCAAAUGACAACUCAUGUCUAUGGCUAGGAAACAUAACCAUCUUUGAUUAACAAGCUAGUCAAGUAGAGGCAUACUAGUGACACUCUGUUUGUCUAUGUAUUCACACAUGUAUUAUGUUUCCGGUUAAUACAAUUCUAGCAUCAAUAAUAAACAUUUAUCAUGAUAUAAGGAAAUAUAUAAUACUUUAUUAUUGCCUCUAGGGAAUAUUUCCUUCAGUCUCCCACUUGCACUAGAGUAAAUAAUCUAGAUUACAUAGUAAUGAUUCUUACACCCAUGGAGUCUUGGUGCUAAUCAUGUUUUGCUCGUGGAAGAGGCUUAGUCAACGGGUCUGCAACAUUCAGAUCCGUAUGUAUCUUGCAAAUUUCUAUGUCUCCCACCUGGACUAAAUCCCGGAUGGAAUCGAAGCGUCUUCUGAUGUGCUUGGUUCUCUUGUGAAAUCUGGAUUCCUUUGCUAAGGCAAUUGCACCAGUAUUGUCACAAAAGAUUUUCAUUGGUCCCGAUGUACUAGGUAUGACACCUAGAUCGGAUAUGAACUCCUUCAUCCAGACUCCUUCAUUUGCUGCUUCCGAAGCAGCUAUGUAUUCCGCUUCACACGUAGAUCCCGCCAUGACACUUUGCUUAGAACUGCACCAACUGAUAGCUCCACCGUUCAAUGUAAAUACGUAUCCGGUUUGCGAUUUCGAAUCGUCCGGAUCAGUGUCAAAGCUUGCAUCAACGUAACCACUUACGAUGAGCUCUUUGUCACCUCCAUAAACGAGAAACAUAUCCUUAGUCCUUUUCAGGUAUUUCAGGAUGUUCUUGACCGCUGUCCAGUGAUCCACUCCUGGAUUACUUUGGUACCUUCCUGCUAAACUUAUAGCAAGGGACACAUCAGGUCUGGUACACAGCAUUGCAUACAUGAUAGAGCCUAUGGCUGAAGCAUAGGGAACAUCUUUCAUCUUCUCUCUAUCUUCUGCAGUGGUCGGGCAUUGAGUCUUACUCAAUCUCACACCUUGUAGUACAGGCAAGAACCCUUUCUUUGCUUGAUCCAUUUUGAACUUCUUCAAAACUUUGUCAAGGUAUGUGCUUUGUGAAAGUCCAAUUAAGCGUCUGGAUCUAUCUCUAUAGAUCUUAAUGCCUAAUAUAUAUGCAGCUUCACCGAGGUCUUUCAUUGAAAAACUCUUAUUCAAGUAUCCCUUUAUGCUAUCCAGAAAUUCUAUAUCAUUUCCAAUCAGUAAUAUGUCAUCCACAUAUAAUAUCAGAAAUGCUAUCGAGCUCCCACUCACUUUCUUGUAAAUACAGGCUUCUCCAAAAGUCUGUAUAAAACCAAAUGCUUUGAUCACACUAUCAAAGCGUUUAUUCCAACUCCGAGAGGCUUGCACCAGUCCAUAAAUGGAUCGCUGGAGCUUGCACACUUUGUUAGCUCCCUUUGGAUCGACAAAACCUUCCGGUUGCAUCAUAUACAACUCUUCUUCCAGAAAUCCAUUCAGGAAUGCAGUUUUGACAUCCAUUUGCCAAAUUUCAUAAUCGUAAAAUGCGGCAAUUGCUAACAUGAUUCGGACAGACUUAAGCAUCGCUACGGGUGAGAAGGUCUCAUCGUAGUCAAUCCCUUGAACUUGUCGAAAACCUUUCGCAACAAGUCGAGCUUUAUAGACAGUAACAUUACCAUCAGCGUUAGUCUUCUUCUUGAAGAUCCAUUUAUUUUCAAUGGAUUGCCGACCAUCGGGCAAGUCAACCAAAGUCCAUACUUUGUUCUCAUACAUGGAUCCCAUCUCGGAUUUCAUGGCUUCAAGCCAUUUUGCAGAAUCUGGGCUCACCAUCGCUUCUUCAUAGUUCGUAGGUUCGUCAUGGUCUAGUAACAUGACCUCCAGAACAGGAUUGCCGUACCACUCUGGUGCGGAUCUUGAUCUAGUUGACCUACGAGGUUCAGUAAUAACUUGAUCUGAAGUUUCACGAUCAUUAUCAUUAACUUCCUCACUAAUUGGUGUAGGUGUCGCAGAAACUGAUUUCUGCGAUGAUCUACUUUCCAAUAAGGGGGCAGGUACAGUUACCUCAUCAAGUUCUACUUUCCUCCCACUCACAUCUUUCGAGAGAAACUCCUCCUCUAGAAAGGAUCCAUUCUUAGCAACGAAUAUCUUGCCUUCGGAUCUGUGAUAGAAGGUAUACCUAACAGUCUCCUUUGGGUAUCCUAUGAAGACACAUUUCUUCGAUUUAGGUUCGAGCUUAUCAGGUUGAAGUUUCUUCACAUAAGCAUCGCAACCCCAAACUUUAAGAUACGACAACUUUGGUUUCUUGCCAAACCAUAGUUCAUAAGGCGUCGUCUCAACGGAUUUCUAUGGUGUCCUAUUUAGAGUGAAUGCAGCCGUCUCUAAAGCAUAACCCCAAAACGAUAGCGGUAAAUCAGUAAGAGACAUCAUAGAUCGCACCAUAUCUAAUAAAGUACGAUUACGACGUUCGGACACACCAUUACGCUGUGGUGUUCCGGGCGGAGUGAGUUGCGAAACUAUUCCGCAUUGUUUCAAAUGUAGGCCAAACUCGUAACUCAAAUAUUCUCCUCCAUGAUCAGAUCGUAGGAAUUUUAUUUUCUUGUUACGAUGAUUUUCAACUUCACUCUGAAAUUCUUUGAACUUUUCAAAUGUUUCAGACUUAUGUUUUAUUAAGUAGAUAUACCCAUAUCUGCUCAAAUCAUCUGUGAAGGUGAGAAAAUAACGAUAUCCGCCACGAGCCUCAAUAUUCAUCGGACCACAUACAUCUGUAUGUAUGAUUUCCAACAAAUCUGUUGCUCUCUCCAUAGUUCCGGAGAAUGGUGUUUUGGUCAUCUUGCCUAUGAGGCACGGUUCGCAAGUACCAAGUGAUUCAAAAUCAAGUGAUUCCAAAAUUCCAUCAGUAUGGAGUUUCUUCAUGCGCUUUACACCGAUAUGACCCAAACGGCAGUGCCACAAAUAAGUUGCACUGUCAUUAUCAACUCUGCAUCUUUUGGCUUCGACAUUAUGAAUAUGUGUAUCACUACUAUCGAGAUUCAUUAAAAAUAGACCACUCUUCAAGGGUGCAUGACCAUAAAAGAUAUUAUUCAUAUAAAUAGAACAACCAUUAUUCUCUGAUUUAAAUGAAUAAUCGUCUCGCAUUAAACAAGAGCCAGAUAUAAUGUUCAUGCUCAACGCUGGCACCAAAUAAUAAUUAUUUAGGUCUAAAACCUAUCCCGAAGGUAGAUGUAGAGGUAGCGUGCCGACGGCGAUCACAUCGACUUUGGAACCAUUUCCCACGCGCAUCGUCACCUCAUCCUUAGCCAAUCUUCGCUUAAUCCGUAGCCCCUGUUUCGAGUUGCAAAUAUUAGCAACAGAACCAGUAUCAAAUACCCAGGUGCUACUGCGAGUAUUAGUAAGGUACACAUCAAUAACAUGUAUAUCACAUAUACCUUUGUUAACCUUGCCAUCCUUCUUAUCCGCCAAAUACUUGGGGCAGUUCCGCUUCCAGUGACCAGUCUGCUUACAGUAGAAGCACUCAGUUUCAGGCUUAGGUCCAGACUUGGAUUUCUUCUCCUGAACAGCAACUUGCUUGUUCUUCUUCUUGAAGUUCCCUUUCUUCUUCCCUUUGCCCUUUUUCUUGAAACUAGUGGUUUUACUGACCAUCAACACUUGAUGCUCCUUUUUGAUUUCUACCUCCGCUGCCUUUAGCAUUGCGAAGAGCUCGGGAAUUGUCUUAUCCAUCCCUUGCAUGUUAUAGUUCAUCACGAAGCUCUUGUAGCUUGGUGGCAGUGAUUGACGAAUUCUGUCAAUGACGCAAUCAUCCGGAAGUUGAACUCCCAGUUGAAUCAAGUGAUUAUUAUACCCAGACAUUCUGAGUAUAUGCUCACUGACAGAACUAUUCUCUUCCAUUUUGCAGCUAUAGAACUUAUUGGAGACUUCAUAUCUCUCAAUCCGGGCAUUUGCUUGAAAUAUUAACUUCAACUCCUGGAACGUCUCAUAUGCUCCAUGACGUUCAAAACGUCGUUGAAGACCCGGUUCUAAGCCGUAAAGCAUGGCACACUGAACUAUUGAGUAGUCAUCAGCUUUGCUCUGCCAGACGUUCAUAACUUCUGGUGUUGCUCUUGCAGGAGGCCUGGCACCUAGCGGUGCUUCCAGGACGUAAUUCUUCUAUGCAACAAUGAGGAUAAUCCUCAAAUUACGGACCCAGUCCGUGUAAUUGCUACCAUCAUCUUUCAACUUAGCUUUCUCAAGGAACGCAUUAAAAUUCAACGGAACAACAGCACGGGCCAUUUAUCUACAAUUAACAUAGACAAAGCAAGAUACUAUCAGGUACUAAGUUCAUGAUAAAUUUAAGUUCAAUUAAUCAUAUUACUUAAGAACUCCCACUUAGAUAGAUAUCCCUCUAAUCAUCUAAGUGAUUACGUGAUCCAAAUCAACUAAACCAUGUCCGAUCAUCACGUGAGAUGGAGUAGUUUCAAUGGUGAACAUCACUAUGUUGAUCAUAUCUACUAUAUGAUUCACGCUCGACCUUUAGGUCUCCGUGUUCCGAGGCCAUAUCUGCAUAUGCUAGGCUCGUCAAGUUUAACCUGAGUAUUCCGCGUGUGCAACUGUUUUGCACCCGUUGUAUUUGAACGUAGAGCCUAUCACACCCGAUCAUCACGUGGUGUCUCAGCACGAAGAACUUUCGCAACGGUGCAUACUCAGGGAGAACACUUUUAUCUUGAAAUUUUAGUGAGAGAUCAUCUUAUAAUGCUACCGUCAAUCAAAGCAAGAUAAGAUGCAUAAAGGAUUAACAUCACAUGCAAUCAAUAUAAGUGAUAUGAUAUGGCCAUCAUCAUCUUGUGCUUGUGAUCUCCAUCUCCGAAGCACCGUGUUCGUGAUCUCCAUCUCCGAAGCACCGUCAUGAUCACCAUCGUCACCGGCGCGACACCUUGAUCUCCAUCAUAGUAUCGUUGUCGUCUCGCCAACUAAUUGCUUUUACGACUAUCGCUACCGCUUAGUGAUAAAGUAAAACUAUUACAUGGUGAUUGCAUCUCAUACAAUAAAGCGACAACCAUAUGGCUCCUGCCAAUUGCCGAUAACUCGGUUACAAAACAUGAUCAUCUCAUACAACAAAUUAUAUCACAUCAUGUCUUGACCAUAUCACAUCACAACAUGCCCUGCAAAAACAAGUUAGACGUCCUCUACUUUGUUGUUGCAAGUUUUACGUGGCUGCUACGGGCUUAGCAAGAACCGUUCUUACCUACGCAUCAAAACCACAACGAUAGUUUGUCAAGUUGGUGCUGUUUUAACCUUCGCAAGGACCGGGCGUAGCCACACUCGGUUCAACUAAAGUGAGAGAGACAGACACCCGCCGGUCACCUUUAAGCAACGAGUGCUCGCAACGGUGAAACCAGUCUCGCGUAAGCGUACGCGUAAUGUCGGUCCGGGCCGCUUCAUCUCACAAUACCGCUGAACCAAAGUAUGACAUGCUGGUAAGCAGUAUGACUUAUAUCGCCCACAAAUCACUUGUGUUCUACUCGUGCAUAGCAUCAACGCAUAAAACCAGGCUCGGAUGCCACUGUUGGGCAACGUAGUAAUUUCAAAAUUUUCCUACGCACACGCAAGAUCAUGGUGAUGCAUAGCAACGAGAGGGGAGAGUGUUGUCCACGUACCCUCAUAGACCGACAGCGGAAGCGUUAUCACAACGCGGUUGAUGUAGUCGUACGUCUUCACGAUCCGACCGAUCAAGUACCGAACGCACGGCACCUCCGAGUUCUACACACGUUCAGCUCGGUGACGUCCCUCGAACUCCGAUCCAGCCGAGUGUUGAGGGAGAGUUUCGUCAGCACGACGACAUGGUGACGAUGAUGAUGUUCCACCGACGCAGGGCUUCGCCUAAGCUCCGCAACGGUAUUAUCGAGGUGUAAUAUGGUGGAGGGGGGCACCGCACACGGCUAAAAUAUCGUAUAUCAAGUGUGUAUAGAGGUGCCCCCUGCCCCCGUAUAUAAAGGAGCAAGGGGGAGGCCGGCUGCCCUAGGCGCGCCAAGGAGAGGGGGGGAGUCCUCCUCCUAGUAGGAGUAGGACUCCCCUUUCCUAGUCCAACUAGGAAAAGAAGGGGGAAGGAAAGAGAGGGAGAGGGAGAGGGAAAGGGGGCUGCGCCCCCCUCUCCUAGUCCAACUAGGAUUCCUCCUGGGAGGGGGCGCACCACCUCCUGGCUGCUGCCCUCUCUCUCCCCUCAAGGCCCACUAAGGCCCAAUACUUCCCCGGGGGGUUCCAGUAACCCUCCGGCACUCCGGUUUAAUCCGAAACUUCUCCGGAACACUUCCGGUGUCCGAAUAUAGUCGUCCAAUAUAUCAAUCUUUAUGUCUCGACCAUUUCGAGACUCCUCGUCAUGUCCGUGAUCACAUCUGGGACUCUGAACAACCUUCGGUACAUCAAAACAUAUAAACUCAUAAUAUAACUGUCAUCGUAACGUUAAGCGUGCGGACCCUUCGGGUUCGAGAACUAUGUAGACAUGACCGAGACACCUCUCCGGUCAAUAACCAAUAGCGGAACCUGGAUGCUCAUAUUGGUUCCCACAUAUUCUACGAAGAUCUUUAUCGGUCAAACCGCAUAACAACAUACGUUGUUCCCUUUGUCAUCGGUAUGUUACUUGCCCGAGAUUCGAUCGUCGGUAUCUCGAUACCUAGUUCAAUCUCGUUACCGGCAAGUCUCUUUACUCGUUCCAUAAUACAUCAUCCCGCAACUAUCUCAUUAGUCACAAUGCUUGCAAGGCUUAUAGUGAUGUGCAUUACCGAGUGGGCCCAGAGAUACCUCUCCGACAAUCGGAGUGACAAAUCCUAAUCUCGAAAUACGCCAACCCAACAAGUACCUUUGGAGACACCUGUAGAGCACCUUUAUAAUCACCCAUUUACGUUGUGAUGUUUGGUAGCACACAAAGUGUUCCUCCGGUAAACGGGAGUUGCAUAAUCUCAUAGUCAUAGGAACAUGUAUAAGUUAUGAAGAAAGCAAUAGCAACAUACUAAACGAUCGGGUGCUAAGCUAACGGAAUGGGUCAUGUCAAUCACGUCAUUCUCCUAAUGAGGUGAUCCCGUUAAUCAAAUGACAACUCAUGUCUAUGGCUAGGAAACAUAACCAUCUUUGAUUAACGAGCUAGUCAAGUAGAGGCAUGCUAGUGACACUCUGUUUGUCUAUGUAUUCACACAUGUAUUAUGUUUCCGGUUAAUACAAUUCUAGCAUGAAUAAUAAACAUUUAUCAUGAUAUAAGGAAAUAUAUAAUACUUUAUUAUUGCCUCUAGGGCAUAUUUCCUUCAGUUGAGACAUACCAGGUGGUGACCAUGUUGGGUAGUACCAAGGAGUUAUAUUGUGCUAACCACUGCAGGAAAAGUUAAACCUCCUGAGUUGACCGUAGAUCGAGUCUUGUUCCGGUAACCCCCAUACUGGUUCGUGCUACCACUUGUCCCCGCCACAGGCAGGGUACAGUUCAGUAAGUUUUUAACCCCUUUCCCUGCACACACCGUACAGAGAGGCCACGAUGAGGGUUUCCAGGUACCGGCUGCAAUGCCAGUCAGCGGGCCAAGGGGCAUGGGUGUAUCCGGCUGGGCCAAGUGGGGGCACACCUUGUAAUCCGCACGUGUUAAUAGUGAUCCCAUGCUACUCGAGACGAUGGUCACCCCGCCUUAGAGUUUCUCUUGAACAAUGCUUUGGGUGAUUCCUGGCAUCUGGAAAGUUAAUCUGGUGUGUGCUGGUCAGGUGUGUUUUCAUCCCAAAGACCGUAAUCGGAAUUAGUCAACGUCUCAGGUUUGACUACAGAAAUCCUUUACACGUGGGUAAAGAGUACACCCUCUGCAGAGUUAUAUCUAUUCGAAUAGCCGUGUCCAUGGUGAAGGACUAUAGUCUGGGUUGGUCAAGUGUCGGUCUUAGUGUCAGUCUCCGGAGGAAAUAAUUAAAUUGAUCAUGGUUCAUUCUACAGGAUAAUUAUUGUCACUACUGGUGCCAUUAUGAAUAUUUUUGUUGACAUGCAUACUGUUGUGGACUAACCUUUUCCUCUUAUGUGCAACUAUGAGUAUCUCUUGGGAUGGCUAGACUACCCGGGAUACUCGUUUUGUUUUCUUUUCUUUUAUGAGUAUCACUUGGGAUGGCUAGUCCACCUGGAUACUCGUUUUGUUAUUUUCAUAUAAGCCCUUUAUGAGGUGUCGCUUCAGACACCCGACUGUGGCAUGUAUUUUCAAGACCUCUCGUGGCGUCGCUUGAGUUCUUGGACGGUCCUGUCUCGCCCGAUUCUCUUUUAGACACCCAUUUGGCAUUUCUCUUGGAAUUUCUCGGGCGGUCCAACGGCCGACGUUCCGUUUCAUUUCUUUGAUUUAAUAUUAACAUGACUUAUUUAUCCUUCCGCACAGUAUGAAUAUUUGUCAUGCCAUGCUCUAAUUCUCAGUCAGCACAUGCAUGUAAUUUAAUUCGUCAUGAGCAUAUGCAUCCGGUAUAUCUUUUGUUCAUGAUGUUUGCGAGUACAUUCAAACGUACUCACUGGCUUGUCCCUGGCUAUUGUCUUGGCUAGAUCAUGACUCAGAGAAGAGCACUACGAAGACACCCCACAACCUAGGAUUCAGAGAUAGCAGCCAUGCGAGAUAGGAGUUAUCCAGGCUAGCUGUUCCGUGGGAAUGGAGUUCCAUCAAUGUUGGAGAUCCACGAGUCGCUUCCAUCAUCUGCCACCAGAAAUCAUUGUUGUACUCAAUGGACCUAUAAGGUCUUGUACUCAUAUUCUUGUAAUUGCUUGGAAUUCUGUAUCAAGGAAAUGUCCACCAGCAACAGUAAUCCUGGGGCUGGUGAUGACACAAGGGUCGUUUACUGGGAUUUAUGUCCUGGAAAUCCAACCCCUUACAUUCAAUCUCAUUACCGGCAAGUCUCUUUACUCAUUCUGUAAUGCAUCAUCCCACAACUAACUCAUUAGUGACAUUGCU
RNAcentral lists this long non-coding RNA (11765 nucleotides) under Triticum aestivum (bread wheat). RNAcentral's name for it is "long non-coding RNA (TAES_LNC000423)". The record is from RNAcentral. Lineage: Eukaryota; Viridiplantae; Streptophyta; Magnoliopsida; Poales; Poaceae.